AGGAAACUGAGUCUGAAAGAGUUUAAUAAGGAAGAGAAGCAGAGGCAUAGGUGAGAGAAUAGCAAUAAACCACGGAUGAGGGGAGCCCUGGUGACAAAGAGGACACUGGAUUCUCUCUGUGGUCAAGGAGAGAUGGCAGUGAGAGGGGUAAAUUCACUCAGUUACCCAACUUCCUCUUAGGAGAGUACAGUGUCAAGGGUGACAAGCCUCACCUGGCUGAGAGUGAGAUUUGUUUGGGCCCCAUUGUCAUACCAACAAGGGAAUGUUUGGUAACAGAGCCAGUGACUUCACAGAAACUGGUCUUAAUUCCACAUUUCUGAAGCUCAGGGAAGAGCAGAGCCAGCCAGGAGAGAAUGUGGAGGCAGAGGAAGACAAUAGUUCCCUUGGAAGAGCUGUGACUACUAGAAAAGUACUGUCCUGGUGAUGUUUCAAGUACAAUGUUAUAUAACAGAGGUGACUUGCAUCACUCCGGAUCUUACUGGGAAGGCUUCUAACUUGACCCCAUUGAAGAUGAUGCUAGCUGAUUGGUUUAAAUAUAUACUGUUUAUUAAUUUUAGCAAAGGCCCCUCUACUCCUCUACCUUCUAGUAUUUUCAAUAGCAAUGAGUGUUGUAUUUUGUGAAAGACUUUUUCUGCAUCUGUUGAGAUAAUCAUGUGAUUUCUGUUGGUUUGGUAAUGAUAUUGUCAAUUAAGUGGAUAGUUUUCCUAAUAUUAAACCAUUCUGGUAUAAAUCCCACCUGAUCAUAGUGAAUAAUCGUCGGGAUAACUUCCUUGAGUCUUUUUGCUAGUAUUCUAUUCAAGGUCUGGUAAAAGUCCUUCUUUGUUUCUUUUGUCAAAGAGUUUGGGGAUAUGAUUAGGGUUUUGACAUCAAAAGAUGACUCUGUUGAAAAUAUGAAUAACAUGGAAAUAGAUUUUGAACAAUGAUACAUGUGUAACCCAGUGGAACUGCUUGUCAGAUCUUGGAGGGGGGGAAAUGAGGAGAGGGAAUCAUGAAUCUUGUAACCAUGGAAAAAUAUUCUAAACCAAAACACAUUUUUUUAAGUUUUUUUUU
Molecule: long non-coding RNA, 1050 nt
Filed under: Monodelphis domestica (gray short-tailed opossum)
Lineage: Eukaryota; Metazoa; Chordata; Mammalia; Didelphimorphia; Didelphidae
Description: lncRNA (ENSMODG00000037754.1)
Source: RNAcentral